RNAcentral lists this transfer RNA (68 nucleotides) under Epistrophe zibaiensis. RNAcentral describes it as "tRNA-Trp". The record is from RNAcentral. Lineage: Eukaryota; Metazoa; Arthropoda; Insecta; Diptera; Syrphidae.
AAAACUUUAAGUUAAAUUAAACUAAUAGCCUUCAAAGUUAUAAAUAUGAGAAAAUCUUUUAAGUUUUA